RNAcentral lists this ribosomal RNA (465 nucleotides) under uncultured bacterium. RNAcentral describes it as "bacterial SSU rRNA". It matches the Rfam family "Bacterial small subunit ribosomal RNA", at positions 917 to 1382 of the family's 1533-position model. The record is from RNAcentral.
GGGCCCGCACAAGCGGUGGAACAUGUGGUUCAAUUCGACGCUACGCGAGGAACCUUACCUGGGCUCGAAAUGCUUCGGACCAGCUGUAGAAAUACGGCCUUCCCGCAAGGGACCGGAGUAUAGGCGCUGCAUGGCUGUCGUCAGCUCGUGCCGUGAGGUGUUGGGUUAAGUCCCGCAACGAGCGCAACCCUUGCACACAGUUACUACUCGCAAGAGAGGACUCUGUGUGGACUGCUCCGGAUAACGGAGAGGAAGGUGGGGAUGACGUCAAGUCCGCAUGGCCUUUAUGUCCAGGGCUACACACGUGUUACAAUGCAGGGCACAAACCGUUGCCAACCCGUGAGGGGGAGCUAAUCGGAAAAAACUCUGCUCAGUUCGGAUUGCAGUCUGCAACUCGACUGCAUGAAGCCGGAAUCGCUAGUAAUGGCGUAUCAGAUCGACGCCGUGAAUACGUUCCCGGGCCUU